UACGUAGGGGGCGAGCGUUAAUCGGAAUUACUGGGCGUAAAGGGUGCGCAGGCGGCCGAGCAAGUCGAGUGUGAAAGCCCCGAGCUUAACUUGGGAACUGCGCUCGAAACUACUUGGCUAGAGUGUGGCAGAGGGAGGUGGAAUUCCACGUGUAGCGGUGAAAUGCGUAGAGAUGUGGAGGAACACCGAUGGCGAAGGCAGCCUCCUGGGCCAACACUGACGCUCAUGCACGAAAGCGUGGGGAGCAAACAGG
This 253-nucleotide ribosomal RNA is filed under the name uncultured bacterium. Its description in RNAcentral is "partial 16S ribosomal RNA". It matches the Rfam family "Bacterial small subunit ribosomal RNA", at positions 524 to 776 of the family's 1533-position model. The record is from RNAcentral.